RNAcentral lists this ribosomal RNA (499 nucleotides) under uncultured bacterium. RNAcentral describes it as "partial 16S ribosomal RNA". It matches the Rfam family "Bacterial small subunit ribosomal RNA", at positions 28 to 507 of the family's 1533-position model. The record is from RNAcentral.
GACGAACGCUGGCGGCGUGCUUAACACAUGCAAGUCGAACGGGCCCGCUCUCUUUUUUGGGGGUGGGUUGAGUGGCGAACGGGUGAGUAUCACGUGAGUAACCUGCCCCCUGCUCCUGGAUAACUGCUUGAAAGGGCGGCUAAUACGGGGUGUGCCGGCUGGUCCGCAUGGGCCUGGUCGGGAUAGUUUCAUCUUCGGGUGUUUCGGUGGGGGAUGGGCUCGCGGCCUAUCAGCUUGUUGGUGGGGUGAUGGCCCACCAAGGCGGUGACGGGUAGCCGGCCUGAGAGGGUGGGCGGCCACACUGGGACUGAGACACGGCCCAGACGCCUGCGGGAGGCAGCAGUGGGGGGUAUUGCACAAUGGACGGAAGCCUGAUGCAGCGACGUCGCGUGAGGGAUGGAGGCCUUCGGGUGGUGAACCUCUUUCUCCGGUGGUGAAGGCCCUGUCCGGUGCGGCGGGGUUGACGGUAGCCGGGUAUGAAGCGCCGGCUAACUACGUG